This 771-nucleotide ribosomal RNA is filed under the name uncultured organism. Its description in RNAcentral is "SSU rRNA". It matches the Rfam family "Bacterial small subunit ribosomal RNA", at positions 33 to 806 of the family's 1533-position model. The record is from RNAcentral.
GCGCUGGCGGCGUGCUUAACACAUGCAAGUCGAACUUUUUUUUUGUGGAAAGCCCUUCGGGGACGGAAGCAAAAUGAAAGUGGCGAACGGGUGAGUAACACGUGAGCAACCUACCUUACACAGGGGGAUAGCCGUUGGAAACGACGAUUAAUACCGCAUGAGACCACAAAGCCACAUGGCUUAGGGGUAAAAGAUUUAUCGGUGUAAGAUGGGCUCGCGUCUGAUUAGCUAGUUGGAAGGGUAAAGGCCUACCAAGGCAACGAUCAGUAGCCGGUCUGAGAGGAUGAACGGCCACAUUGGAACUGAGACACGGUCCAAACUCCUACGGGAGGCAGCAGUGGGGAAUAUUGCACAAUGGGGGGAACCCUGAUGCAGCGACGCCGCGUGAGCGAAGAAGGUUUUCGAAUCGUAAAGCUCUGUCCUAUGAGAAGAUAAUGACGGUAUCAUAGGAGGAAGCCCCGGCUAAAUACGUGCCAGCAGCCGCGGUAAUACGUAUGGGGCGAGCGUUGUCCGGAAUUAUUGGGCGUAAAGGGUACGUAGGCGGCCUCUUAAGUCAGGUGUGAAAGCGUGAGGCUUAGCCUCAUUAAGCACUUGAAACUGGAAGGCUUGAGUGAAGGAGAGGAAAGUGGAAUUCCUAGUGUAGCGGUGAAAUGCGUAGAUAUUAAGAGGAAUACCGGUGGCGAAGGCGACUUUCUGGACUUUUACUGACGCUCAGGUACGAAAGCGUGGGGAGCAAACAGGAUUAGAUACCCUGGUAGUCCACGCCGUAAA